CGGUCGCUACCCCGUUCGUUAGGUUGAUCAUCCCUGGGGCUUUCGAUACCUCGGGAGCUGUCCCUGUCAGGCCCGUGGGUUUGGUAUACGGCGCCCACCUGCACAAGCAGGCCACAGAGGAUAUCCUUCCAACGGCUGGGUGGGGCCGCC
RNAcentral lists this non-coding RNA (150 nucleotides) under Rhodospirillaceae bacterium. RNAcentral's name for it is "6S RNA". It matches the Rfam family "6S / SsrS RNA". From Rfam's summary of the family: E. coli 6S RNA was the first non coding RNA to be sequenced, but its function was unknown until recently. The record is from RNAcentral. Lineage: Bacteria; Pseudomonadati; Pseudomonadota; Alphaproteobacteria; Rhodospirillales; Rhodospirillaceae.